CAAUAGCGUAUAUUAAAGCUGUUGCGGUUAAAAAGCUGGUAAUUAAUUGGGUUUCUGUCAAGGACAACUGGUCCGCCCCCCGGGUUUUGGUCUUGACAUCUUGCUGGAAGCUGUUGCUGCACUUGGCUGUGUGGCGCAGUGUUCAGCACUUUCACUUUGAGGAAAUUGGAAUGUUUCAAGCAGGCACAUAGCUGUGGACAUAGUAGCAUGGAAUAAUUAGAUUGGGUUUUUGCUCCAGUUUGUCGGUUUCUGGAGUUGAGAUGAGUAUUAAUGGGGAUUGUUGGGUGCAUCCGAUUUAGUCGUCAUGGAUUUUUCAAUGACGGACAACCGCGAAAGCGUUUGCCCAAGAUGUUUUCAUUGA
RNAcentral lists this ribosomal RNA (361 nucleotides) under uncultured eukaryote. RNAcentral describes it as "partial 18S ribosomal RNA". It matches the Rfam family "Eukaryotic small subunit ribosomal RNA", at positions 592 to 976 of the family's 1831-position model. The record is from RNAcentral.